UACGGAGGGUGCAAACGUUGCGCGGAAUCACUGGGCGGAAAGCGAGCGUAGGCGGCCAUAUAAGUCGGGUGUGAAAGCCCUCGGCUCGACCGAGGAAGUGCAUUCGAAACUGUAUGGCUCGAGUACUGGAGAGGGUAACGGAAUUCCCGGUGUAGAGGUGAAAUUCGUAGAUAUCGGGAGGAACACCAGAGGCGAAGGCGGUUACCUGGACAGAUACUGACGCUGAGGCUCGAAAGCGUGGGGAGCAAACAGG
Molecule: unclassified non-coding RNA, 253 nt
Filed under: uncultured Kofleriaceae bacterium
Lineage: Bacteria; Pseudomonadati; Myxococcota; Haliangiales; Kofleriaceae
Description: contains 16S-23S intergenic spacer region
Rfam family: Bacterial small subunit ribosomal RNA
Source: RNAcentral